UUUGCAAAAUAUCUAAGAAAUGGUUGUGGGAGUACAACCACUUCUCAAGACUCCCAUUAGGCAUGUAUUCAAGAACCAAUGCUUUGAAAUCAAGGUUAGAGCAGCUACCGAUGACUUUGUUGAUAUUUCGGUGACGAAGGUUGCGUAAUACUUCGCAUUCUACAUCGAAACUCUUGAAUCCUCCUUCUAGUUGCAGAUUGAAUACCUUUAUAGCCACUAAUGUCCCAUUUGCAAGUAUCCCUUUGAAAACUGAACCAAAACUACCCAUGCCAACCAAAUUGCUUUCACUAAAGCCAUCAGUUGCUCGUUGAAGUUCAUAGUAUGAAAUUCUCAUAGGGCCAAUUAUUUCUGACAAUUCAGUUCGCGUGGGCAGUCUAAUUCCGCGUCCACGUCUUAUCAACACAAAUGCAAAUGUCAAUGUAAGAAUUAUUGAUGCAAGCACCAACGGAAUACAUAUAGCUAGAAGCACUCUCUUUUUCUUUGAUGAUCCAUGAACAAAACUAGUAUGGCAUAUUGGGACUUGAAACCGAGGAGCACCACACAACGCUUCAUUCCAUAAGAAAGAUCUACUGUCGAAGCUUUUGAAAGGACCUUUACUUGGAAUUUCUCCUCUUAAACUAUUAGAAGAUACAUUAAAAUAUCUAAGAUACAAGAGUGUCUCUAAGGACUUGGGAAUCACACCAGAGAGGUUGUUAUGAGACAAAUCCAAGUACUCUAAGCUCACUAAAGAUUUGAAUGUAUCGGGAAUAGGUCCUUGUAACCUAUUGUUUGCCAAAAAAAGAUUAGCCAAGUUUUGGAGCUCCCCAAGGGUGUUAGGGAUGUCACCCGACAAUCGAUUAUGUGAUAGAUCUAUUAGCACAACAGCCUUAAGAUUUCGAAGUUCAAGGGGUAUGUGGCCGCUUAAAAAAUUUCUAGAUAUAUCGACCUCCAAAACAUUCUUGAGGUUCCCAAAGUUUCUUGGUAAGCUAGAGGUCAAUUUGUUUGAAUAAAGAUAAAGAUAUCUUAGAGAAGCAAUAUUCCCUAAACAUGCUGGCAAUGGACCGAAAAUCUGGUUUGCUCCUAAGUUUAAGAAACCCAUGUUUUGUAGUCUACAAAGAUAAUCCGGCAUGGAUCCUCCUAUCUUGUUUUCACUAAGGUCUAACUGUUGAAGCUUCGACAACCGUUUUAGUGCCACAAGAUUUUUUCCGGUCAAUUCAUUCCCAUGCAGAGCUAAUAAUAUAAGACUGCUUAAAUUGCCAAUUUCAUUAGGUAAGGUUCCCUUUAUUCCACAAUUAUUUGCAUACAAUUGUUUAAGAGAAGUGGAGAAAUUUCCGAUGGAAGCUGGAAGGUAUCCAUGUAGAGAAUUAUUACUUAAGGAUAAAUCUAUUAAGUUUCUGCAAUUGGUCAAACUAGUGAGGAAGCUUAGUUCUGAAGAUGAACUUUCCGUUAUGAAAUUGUUCAUGCCCAAGUUUAGGGAUUCAAGAUGUUUCAAAUUUCCAAGUGACAUGGGAAUUGUACCUGUUAAUUUGUUUCUACCAAGGUCUAAACUCAUGAGUUGAGUAGCAUUUGAGAUAGACUCUGGCAAAAUCCCUGUCAGGUUAUUAAUUCCUAAUGCAAUUGUUUUUAGAUUGGGUAGCUUGUGGCCAAAAUUGGUUGGAAGUUUACCUGAAACGUGACUACUUACUAUUCCAAUGACUUCUAAUCUUGAGAUGUUGAAGAUUGAUUCCGGAAUGGUACCAUGUAGGUUAAGGAAACUUAACUCUAACUCCUUCAGAUUCCAAAGGCUACCAAUCUCUUGGGGUAUAGUACCUGUCAAAAAACAUAAAAAAAUGAAAUGAUCAACAAACAAUCUGUUAUUAAUUGUAUUCAAAGAGUGUUCAAUUUUAUAUUUGAAAUCAUUUUAUAAGGUAUUUUAAAAAGGUUAACACACACACACACAUAUAUGUAUGUAUGGGCUUGAAUUAUUUAUAGGUUUGGCUGAAGACAACGUGCGAAAGGGAGUAAUACAAUCCCAACUAGUUGCUAGCUGAGCUGCUACAUAGAAAUUGCCCAUCUUACUUCCCUUCUAUUGCGAGUGUGAAACUUUAAAUAAUAAGAUAAAAUAAAUUAAUGUGUAGCCCAUCUUACUUCCCUUCUAUUACAAGAAUCCACAUAAUGAUCUUAUUAAGCUGAGUUCACAAAGUCAUAAUGAUUUUAUUUUUUGGAUUAUUAAAUAACACCAAGUCACAAUGCAACUAUAACUAUAUAUAUGCAAAUUUUUUUACUAUUGAUUUUCCAAAAUCUGAAUCUGAAUCUCUAAAAAAAAAAACAAGGGCAAACCAAGAUUCAAAACUAAUUUUGAGUAUAAUCCAAAUACCUUUCAAGUGGUUGUAACCAAGAUACAACGCCUGUAGCAGAGUUAAGUUUCCAAUCUCUCUUGGUAUAAUUCCACUGAAGUUGUUGACAGAUAAUGACAAAAAUUGAAGCUCUGAGCAUUCAUGUAGACCUGUUGGAAUUGGACCAAAGAGUUGGUUCAUAGACAGAUAAAGCAUUUGGAUUUUCGGAAUCCCAUGACAAAUAUCCCUUGGAAGAUUACCAAAUAGGCUAUUAUUUGUAAGAUCAAGACUGCGCAGUGUCGAAAUGUUGAAGACGGUGAGAGGAAUAGAGCCCGAAAGCUGAUUAUCUUGCAAAUCCAACACUUGCAAGCUUUUAAAACUACCAAAAUCCCCUGGAAUAUUUCCUUGUAGAGGAUUUCUCCCUAAAUUCAACAUCUCAAGCUUUGAUAAAUUGGAUAAAGAAGGUGGAAUGGUGCCAGUGAAACUGUUAACCGAAAGCAACAAGUCUUUAAGAUUUGAUAAUUUGCUCAACCAUGAGGGGAGCUCCCCUCCAAAGCUGUUGUAUUGAAAGUAGAUUUCUUCUAAUCGACGCAAGUUAGACAACUCUUUGGGCAGGCUACCAUUGAAGCUGUUGUUCUUGAGAUCAAACGACACAAGAAACGAGAGGUUUCCAAUUUGUGGAGGAAUGGUGCCAAUUAGGCCCAUGUUAGAAAGAUUCAAGGCCAUGACUCGUCCAUGGCGAGUGCUACAAGUGACUCCAACCCAACUGCAGCAAGACGCUUGAGUAGUGAUGGACCAGUUGGUUGUCAAGAUGCGGUUAGGGUCGGAAAUGAUGUGAGAUUUGAAGGUCAAAAGAGCGGAUUGAUCGGUGGUGAUGUUAAGGGAUAGGUGAUGAUGAUGAUGAUGAGUAGUUGUGGCUGAGCAACUUGUAAAAAUGGUGGUAUGAUGAUAUUGUAACAACAACACUAUGAUCACAUAGAAGCUGAAGCAAAUAAUUGUCUUCAUGACUUAUUAAAUUUUAUGGUAACACUAUGAAACAUAUGGAGUGGAGUUUAUAUAUGUUUUGCAAACAAGGCAUUCCCGUAAAAAAUUGAAAAAACUAACAUGCCUUUUCGUCAAAAAACUUUGACUUCAUCACUUCUUUUUGCAUCACUUUAAAGUCAUUCACAUUUGACAUUUGUGUCUGGGUUUAUUUGGCCGAGAAGUGUGUGGUUAACUUGAAGCCUAAAUUUUCCUCUCCUUUUAAGGUCAAUUCCACAAUAAAUAUAUCGGCCGAUGACCUUGACUUAUUCUAAAUAAUUUAAGCUCGACUUAAAUAUGGUUCAUAUAAAUUCCAGUACAAUACAGAUGCCUUUGCUACUGGACUCAAAAUAAUUUUUUACUGUAAUGUAUAGCACCACCCCCACGACCAAAUUUUUAGCUGGCAUUCCCUUCGUUCUCGUAAUUAAUUAAGUCCCAUUUGAUGUUGGUUCUAAUUAAUUUUGUAAUAUUUUAAAAAUGUGAAUUAUUUUAAUGUUCGAAAAAAGAUUUUCGUAUUUAGUAAUAUUUUUAAAGAAUUUUACAGUAUUAACUAUUUCAUUAAUUAAAAUCAAAGAGACUCAUAUUCAAUUUAAUUUUACGUAUUAACUAUUUAAAAAAAUAGAAAAAUAAUAUAUCUUACGACAUUAUGUAUAGACUUUUUUUUAUUGCCACGAAUGAAUAACUAUUAGUGAAUACUUUUAAAUCAGAUAUGUAAUAUAAUGGACUAAUCUUAUAAUCUAAUAUAUUAAUAUACGUCGUAAUUAUAAUUUAAUAAAAAAAUUCUUAAAAUCUAUAACAUGACUCAAAAAAUUAAAUGAGAUUUUUUUGCGAGACGAGAAGAGUAUUAUAUAAAUGAUGUUCCAUAUAAAUCACAUCUUAAAGAAUUUCUUUUAAAUUUAUUAAAAUUUCAUGUACGUAAAAUUUGGCAUAAGAUUUAACCUUGACUUGAAUAGAGUCCACAAAAAAUUCCACUAAAAUCUAGAUGCCUUUACUUUGGCGGGUCCUCCAUUCAGUAUGUGAUUAAGCCUAAUUUUCCUCCCCUUUUAAGGUCGGUUUCACAAGUCUAUCGUCUUAGGUUUGAUUUGAUAAAAUUAAAUAAAAAGUUUUAAAUAUAUAAGAAAAUCUGAAUGAGUUGAAUAAAGUAAAAAUUCUGAAUAUAUAAUGAAGUGAUGUGUUUAAUAAUUGUAACAUCUGAAUACGUGUAUUUCACUAUUUUACCCUUUUGGACUAUUAUAAAUAAAUUUAUUAUGUAAUUAUAAAUAUACAAUAUUAUCUAAAAAAAAUUCCACUACAAUCUGAUAUUGACUUAUUCUAAAUGAUUUAAAUAUAGUCCAUCAAAAAUUCCACUACAAUCUAGGUGCACAAUCUACAAUAAAUUUGACGUAAGAUUUAACCUCGACUUAAAUAUAGUCCACGAAAAAUUUCACAACAAUCCAAAUGUGGCUAAAGUCGUGAUUUUUACAAUGCUCUCCCAAUAACUUUAAUCAAAUAUGCAAACCGUUAUUGGUGAACUCUAAUACAACUUUAAUUCAAAUAUGAUUCCAAAGUUAUCUGAAAGGUGAUUGGGUAUGUUUCUGAAGUAGAGGGCUGCUAUGAAUAACUAUGCGAGGUCGGGGGCAACGCCCCGGCCCAAAAGUUUGGGGGGAAUUGUGUACUUUCAUGGUGAAUUCAGGUUUUUGUAUAUAUUGAAAUGUAUAAAGACAAUUGUGUGCGUAAUAAGUUGCACAUUUGUGCUGAAAAUAUAAGCUCCUUUUCAAAAUAUAAGAGACACUUAGAUAUCAGUUUGCUCUUCCUUUAACCAUGAGGAAUACAACAGCAUUAAUUCAUAACUCAAUCAUAAAAAGUAUCAUAAAAAGUAUAAUACAAUGAUCAUCUUAAUCCAUGAAUAAUCCUGAAAGUAUUUCAGAGCUACUAAACAAAAUCCUUAUAUAAAAUUUAAUAUCAAAUCCUCAAACAUUACCUUACUAACUGAGAAUAACUAAGCACUGCUUGGCAAAUCAACUCUAAUUAAGUAUUAUAAAGUCUUGAAACAAUGUAUUACUGUAUAUUAAGAAAACGACAACUACACACUACUCCCAACUAUUCUGCUGGCUAACUAAUAGCAGAUUUCAGCUACCAUCGACAUAAUGGAGUUAGCUUCUCUCCAAGUUCCCUCAUUUCUAUAUAAUAUAAUACGAUUGAGUGAAAUUGGUACUGUCUGAUACUGCUAUUUGAGUCGUAUUACCAUAUUUGAGCAUAUCUGAUUCGUUAGAUGCCUAUUUCACUUCAUUCCAUGAAAAAAGGGCAAAGAAAGAACACAAAAUCUUCAUCUUUAAUUCAAAUUGAAUUCGUCAAAAUUCAAUACAUUUAUGACACACAACAACAUCAUAACAUGUAGUAAGGACAAUGCAACCACUACAAUCAACCACAAAAUACUCUUUUAAAUAUUGAUUUAGCUAAAAUAUAUGUUAGACCGAGUACCAAAACAAAUUGUUGAUGAGUAAAAGAUGAUCAUGACAAUGUCUUACUUUAAGAUCGUCUAGUUUAAAGCAUUGAUGUUACCAAUAUCACUCCAACCUUUUGAUAGACCUAAAAACCAUUACAAACACAUGAGAUACAAAAAUAUGUUAAAAUUAUUGAAUAACUAUUAGAAUUAAUUUAGUAAUAAAAAGAUAAGUAUGCAAAAUGAGUACUUUGAUGUUUCAAUUCCUUUCGUGAUUUGCAAGAAAGUCAAGUUUGAUCUUUUUGAGUGUUACCAUAACAUCUUUCAUGUUGGACCUCUCUUCAGGUGAAUAAGCAACACAACUCAAAGCCAAUUCCAUAAUAGAUGAGACACAUUGUAGCUUCACAAUUAUGUGUCCAUCCACUGGUUUUAGCAAAUUUGUGUCAAUAACUUGCAUUACUAAGUUAGGAAUUGAAUCGUUUACCCAACGCUUCAAACUCAUAUCUCCAAGAAAUUGUUCAUCACUUGGCUUAGUUCUUGUAAAUACUUCCAUUAACAUAAUGCCAUAACUGUAAACAUCGCAUUUUGUGGAUACUAAUCCUUCCGAUCCGUACUCUAAAUCCAACAUCACAAAUCAACAAGGUAAAUGGAAAAACAUAGCUUGAGCAUACAAUUAAAUGAGCUAAGUUUUACUAUUAGGAAAAAAAAAGUAAAAAGGUUGAGGGUCACCUGGUGCAAUAUAUCCAAUUGUGGCUAGAGUCAUGGUUUGUGCAGUGUUCUCCCCCUCUCCCAAUAACUUUGCUAUGCCAAAAUCACUCACAUGUGCAACCAUAUCUUCAUCUAGAAGAACGUUGUUGGGCUUAAGAUCACAAUGAACCACAGACGUUGAAUAACCAUGAUGGAGAUAGUCCAAAGCACAUGCCACAUCUAUCAUUAAGUUUAUUCUUUGCAAAAUAUCUAAGAAAUGGUUGUGGGAGUACAACCACUUCUCAAAACUCCCAUUAGGCAUGUAUUCAAGAACCAAUGCUUUGAAAUCAAGGUUAGAGCAGCUACCGAUGACUUUGUUGAUAUUUCGGUGACGAAGGUUGCGUAAUACUUCGCAUUCUACAUCGAAACUCUUGAAUCCUCCUUCUAGUUGCAGAUUGAAUACCU
Molecule: long non-coding RNA, 6888 nt
Filed under: Panax ginseng (ginseng)
Lineage: Eukaryota; Viridiplantae; Streptophyta; Magnoliopsida; Apiales; Araliaceae
Description: long non-coding RNA (PGIN_LNC009600)
Source: RNAcentral